Molecule: ribosomal RNA, 468 nt
Filed under: uncultured bacterium
Lineage: Bacteria
Description: partial 16S ribosomal RNA
Rfam family: Bacterial small subunit ribosomal RNA
Source: RNAcentral
GACGAACGCUGGCGGCGUGCUUAACACAUGCAAGUCGAACGGAAAGGCCCUGCUUUUGUGGGGUGCUCGAGUGGCGAACGGGUGAGUAACACGUGAGUAACCUGCCCUUGACUUUGGGAUAACUUCAGGAAACUGGGGCUAAUACCGGAUAGCAGCUCCUGCUGCAGGGUGGGGGUUGGAAAGUUUCGGCGGUAGUGGAUGGACUCGCGGCUUAUCAGCUUGUUGGUGGGGUAGUGGCUUACCAAGCCUUGGACGGGUCGCCGGCCUGAGAGGGUGACCGGCCACAAUGGGACUGAGAGACGGCGCAGUCUCGUACGGGAGGCAGCAGGGGGGAAUCUUGCACAAUGGGCGGAAGCCUGAUGCAGCAGCGCCGCGUGCGGGAUGACGGCCUUCGGGUUGUAAACCGCUUUCGCCUGUGACGAAGCGUGAGUGACGGUAAUGGGUAAAGAAGCACCGGCUAACUACGUG